Molecule: ribosomal RNA, 764 nt
Filed under: Pseudomonas luteola
Lineage: Bacteria; Pseudomonadati; Pseudomonadota; Gammaproteobacteria; Pseudomonadales; Pseudomonadaceae
Description: partial 23S ribosomal RNA
Rfam family: Bacterial large subunit ribosomal RNA
Source: RNAcentral
UGGAGCCAUCCUUGAAAUACCACCCUGGCAUGCUUGAGGUUCUAACUCUGGUCCGUUAUCCGGAUCGAGGACAGUGUAUGGUGGGCAGUUUGACUGGGGCGGUCUCCUCCUAAAGAGUAACGGAGGAGUACGAAGGUGCGCUCAGACCGGUCGGAAAUCGGUCGCAGAGUAUAAAGGCAAAAGCGCGCUUGACUGCGAGACAGACACGUCGAGCAGGUACGAAAGUAGGUCUUAGUGAUCCGGUGGUUCUGUAUGGAAGGGCCAUCGCUCAACGGAUAAAAGGUACUCCGGGGAUAACAGGCUGAUACCGCCCAAGAGUUCAUAUCGACGGCGGUGUUUGGCACCUCGAUGUCGGCUCAUCACAUCCUGGGGCUGAAGCCGGUCCCAAGGGUAUGGCUGUUCGCCAUUUAAAGUGGUACGCGAGCUGGGUUUAGAACGUCGUGAGACAGUUCGGUCCCUAUCUGCCGUGGACGUUUGAGAUUUGAGAGGGGCUGCUCCUAGUACGAGAGGACCGGAGUGGACGAACCUCUGGUGUUCCGGUUGUCACGCCAGUGGCAUUGCCGGGUAGCUAUGUUCGGAAAAGAUAACCGCUGAAAGCAUCUAAGCGGGAAACUUGCCUCAAGAUGAGAUCUCACUGGAGCCUUGAGCUUCCUGAAGGGCCGUUGAAGACUACAACGUUGAUAGGUCGGGUGUGUAAGCGCUGUGAGGCGUUGAGCUAACCGAUACUAAUUGCCCGUGAGGCUUGACCAUAUAACACCCAAACA